RNAcentral lists this ribosomal RNA (119 nucleotides) under Pteropus alecto (black flying fox). Lineage: Eukaryota; Metazoa; Chordata; Mammalia; Chiroptera; Pteropodidae. The record is from RNAcentral.
GUCCACGGCCAUGCCACCCUGAACAUGCCCAAUCCGGUCUGAUCUUGGAAGCUAAGCAGGGUCGGGCCUGGUUAGUAGUUAGAUGAGAGACCACCAAGGAAGACCAGGUGCCAUAGGCA